GACGAACGCUGGCGGCGUGCUUAACACAUGCAAGUCGAACGAAGUGGCGAACGGGUGAGUAAUACGUGGGUAACCUGCCCUCCUUUUUGGGAUAAGCCUUGGAAACGGGGUCUAAUACCGAAUAAAGGGGGAUGGGCUCGCGGCCUAUCAGCUUGUUGGUGGGGUGAUGGCCUACCAAGGCGGUGACGGGUAGCCGGCCUGAGAGGGGGACCGGCGUCGUUAGGAGUGAGAGACUGCCCUGACUGCUACGGGAGGUAGGUGGGGGGGAUUUUGGACACGGGAUGCAAGCCUUGUCCAGUUACGCCGCGUGGGGGAUGGACGCUGUCGGGUUAUGAUCCUCUGGCGCGAUCGAAAGGGUAGGUCGACAAGAAGCGCCGGCUAACUACGUGCCAGCAGCCGCGGUAAUAC
This 408-nucleotide ribosomal RNA is filed under the name uncultured bacterium. Its description in RNAcentral is "partial 16S ribosomal RNA". It matches the Rfam family "Bacterial small subunit ribosomal RNA", at positions 28 to 526 of the family's 1533-position model. The record is from RNAcentral.